UAAAAGGCGAUGAAAAGAAGAAGUAAAAAUAGUCUCCUCAUUAAAGAGAGCACUCGGUUGGUGGAAGAGUGUAUGAGGGCUAUUUUGAACACAUCUUGGAGCUUGGCACCGAAAUUAUAGUAGGCUGUCACGGGAACCUUCACCCGUUAUAGUGAUAGGGUAUGUAUGUACCUAAUAAGGUUAAUGCCGCGAGGCAUUAAUGAAUUGGGGUGGGACCACGGGAGUAAGCUCUCGUCCUCAAA
This 242-nucleotide non-coding RNA is filed under the name Thermobrachium celere. Its description in RNAcentral is "T-box sequence". It matches the Rfam family "T-box leader". From Rfam's summary of the family: Uncharged tRNA acts as the effector for transcription antitermination of genes in the T-box leader family. T-boxes are found upstream of many aminoacyl-tRNA synthetase genes and some amino acid biosynthetic genes usually in Gram-positive bacteria. The anticodon of a specific tRNA base pairs to a specifier sequence within the T-box motif, and the NCCA acceptor tail of the tRNA base pairs to a conserved bulge in the T-box antiterminator hairpin. The record is from RNAcentral. Lineage: Bacteria; Bacillati; Bacillota; Clostridia; Eubacteriales; Clostridiaceae.